GAUGCUGUUUUUGGUUAUCUCCCAUUUGUUUUGCUUAAUUAGUAUAUAUCCUAUCCAGACAUAUAUCUGUAUAUAUAGAGAAAAAUGUGGUAAUAAGACAAAAGAGAGAAUUGAUAAAAAAGUGUAUGAAAAGAAAAAAAAAUUGUAGAAAUUUAGGACCAGUGAUCGAGAGACUUAAUUUUGGAAUUGAAAUGAGAGUAGGAGGUCCAUUAUUCAGGGAAGUUGGGACUAGUGUAAAAGAGAAUUAAUUUUGAAAUUGAAAUGAGAGUAGAUGUCCAUUAAUCAAAAUAUUAACUUGAAAAAUCUGGCAUUUUAUUUGCCAAAUUAAUGGAAGUAUUAACUUGAAAAAUCUGGUAAUUCACUAUUAUUAUCAUCAUGUUGGAUGAAAA
Molecule: long non-coding RNA, 389 nt
Filed under: Olea europaea subsp. europaea
Lineage: Eukaryota; Viridiplantae; Streptophyta; Magnoliopsida; Lamiales; Oleaceae
Source: RNAcentral